Long non-coding RNA from Lolium rigidum, 558 nucleotides. RefSeq lists it as uncharacterized. The transcript has 3 exons. The record is from RefSeq and is a predicted model, not a curated record. Lineage: Eukaryota; Viridiplantae; Streptophyta; Magnoliopsida; Poales; Poaceae.
CUGCAAAGACAACCAUGGUAUAAAUUAUCUGGAUUGAUAGGGAUUGCUACAUGGACCGUAAAUAAGGUGAAGGUAUAAUGCAUAAAGAUUGGGAAACAAACCUCUUGGAUUUGGUUGAGAAAUAUUAUCUAUAAUUUCAAAAGAUGGGAUUGAAAUCUGUAGCUGAGUCAUCAUUUGCUUACUCUUGGAUGCGUUCGCUUCUCAGAUUUCAUGUACAGGUAAAAUUUGGUUUCAGAUAACCAGCUUUCUGUCAUAGACCUCUUCUAGGUGCUGAAGACAUACUAAUAUGUUCUGCACCGAUCAUAGCUGUUAAAGAAUUUGCUUUGCUCUAUAGAAUAAAUUUUCAAGUGAAGAGAUAUCUUGCCUGUAGGUCAACCACCAAAACCAAACUACUAAAUUUGUUUCUGAGAUUUUAUCCUAGAUUAUCAUAUAUCUAUGCCACUAGAACCUCCUUAUUUAAUUUGCAUCUUAGACUUCCAUACCUAAAACAAAAUCAAACGUUUCUCAUAUUUGAGGAUGUCAUAUAGCAUGCUCCGAGGUAUAGUGGUAUGGUUAGUA